Molecule: ribosomal RNA, 815 nt
Filed under: uncultured bacterium
Lineage: Bacteria
Description: bacterial SSU rRNA
Rfam family: Bacterial small subunit ribosomal RNA
Source: RNAcentral
AGAGUUUGAUCCUGGCUCAGAACGAACGCUGGCGGCGUGGAUAAGACAUGCAAGUCGAGCGCUGAUUUCAAGGUAGCAAUAUUUUGAAGUCGGAGCGGCGCAAGGGUGCGUAACACGUGGGUAAUCUGCCAUGAAGUUUGGGAUAACUCGCUGAAAGGCGAGCUAAUACCGGAUGUGACAACUGGAAGGCAUCUUUUGGUUGUCAAAGCUGGGGACCGUAAGGCCUGGCGCUUCUUGAUGAGCCCGCGGCCUAUCAGCUAGUUGGUGAGGUAACGGCUCACCAAGGCUAAGACGGGUAGCUGGUCUGAGAGGACGACCAGCCACACUGGAACUGAGACACGGUCCAGACACCUACGGGUGGCAGCAGUCGAGAAUUUUUCACAAUGGGCGCAAGCCUGAUGGAGCGACGCCGCGUGGGGGAUGAAUGGCUUCGGCCCGUAAACCCCUGUCAUUCGCGAUCAAACCUUAUUAUUUAAAAGAUGAUAAGCUGAUAGUAGCGGAAGAGGAAGGGACGGCUAACUCUGUGCCAGCAGCCGCGGUAAUACAGAGGUCCCAAGCGUUGUUCGGAUUCACUGGGCGUAAAGGGUGCGUAGGUGGUCAGGUAAGUCGGAUGUGAAAUCUCGGAGCUCAACUCCGAAACUGCAUUGGAAACUACCUGGCUCGAGGGUUGGAGGGGGGACUGGAAUUCUCGGUGUAGCAGUGAAAUGCGUAGAUAUCGAGAGGAACACCAGUGGCGAAGGCGAGUCCCUGGACAACUCCUGACACUGAGGCACGAAAGCUAGGGGAGCAAACAGGAUUAGAUACCCUAGUAGUCC